Molecule: ribosomal RNA, 424 nt
Filed under: uncultured bacterium
Lineage: Bacteria
Description: bacterial SSU rRNA
Rfam family: Bacterial small subunit ribosomal RNA
Source: RNAcentral
GAAUAUUGCACAAUGGGCGAAAGCCUGAUGCAGCAACGCCGCGUGCGCGAAGAAGGCCUUCGGGUUGUAAAGCUCUUUUGUCCGGAAAGAAAAGCUUUCGGUUAAUACCCGGAAGUCCUGAUGGUACCGGAAGAAUAAGCACCGGCUAACUUCGUGCCAGCAGCCGCGGUAAUACGAAGGGUGCAAGCGUUACUCGGAAUUACUGGGCGUAAAGCGUGCGUAGGUGGUUCGGUAAGUCUGAUGUGAAAGCCCUGGGCUCAACCUGGGAAUUGCAUUGGAUACUGGCGGGCUGGAGUGCGGUAGAGGAUGGCGGAAUUCCCGGUGUAGCAGUGAAAUGCGUAGAUAUCGGGAGGAACAUCCGUGGCGAAGGCGACUACCUGGACCAGCACUGACACUGAGGCACGAAAGCGUGGGGAGCAAACAG